This is a long non-coding RNA of Cyprinus carpio (common carp), 964 nucleotides long. The record is from Ensembl. Lineage: Eukaryota; Metazoa; Chordata; Actinopteri; Cypriniformes; Cyprinidae.
AAGUAUUUUGAGCUGGAUGACUCUUUGUGUGUUGCAUACCCAGAUGUGUCUCCUCAGCCUUGAUACAUUUCUUGUGUAAAAGAAUUCUCAUUAGUUACUCAACACUCCUCAUUCCGGGCUGACAAGGGUUUCCUGAUGACAGUUCCCCACCCGUCCACCCUCCAGCGAACCUUUUACCAUAAGCUCUCUUAGUCUGGAUUUCUCCUCUCUCUCUCUCUCUCUGACUCUGACUCUGACUCUCUGUCCCCUGCAACCCUCUGUGCCCUAACCAUUGUGGCCCAUCACCCAAACAAAAAUGAAGUUUGCUUGGUUUGUUUGGUACACCAUAUGCACUCAGCCAAUUCAAUUUAGUUGGAAGCCUUAACAAGAGAAUUAGACUGUAAUCCCCUUUAAGCUUCACUAUGCUCUUGACAUCAUGGAAAGAGGUCUGCAAAGCCAGUGUCAUCAUUUGAUGUUGCUUAACUGUUUCACUGACACUUUGGAUACCAACUAUAUGAUUUGCACACAAUGAGUAGAGGCAUGGACAGAGCUUUUACUUUCCCAUGCUCCAUGCUCCAUGAAAGGAAGAAAGGGCUCUAGCAUCUAAACAGCUGGAUACUGACAAAUUAUGUUUUAGCCCAUUUCAAAGUUCUUCUUCAUGAAGUCAAAGCAUCAACAGAACAACCUGAUCUGACCACUCACUUCCCAAAAGGGUGUCCUGUCCUUCCAUAUGACAUUGAAUGAGUCCAGGAGGCCAGGGACUCCCCUGUCUGCCCUCGGAGUUCGCCUAGGGCAGUGUUACAGCCGUCUCUGACCCCACCACCCACCACUCCUCACCCGCCGUCCUGCCAAGGUCUGACGGUGCAGUGGCUGGAUAAGAGGUCCCUUCUCCCGGAGGAGAGUGGCUCUGAACUGCCACAGCGCUGGUGUGAGUCUGUGAGCCUCUGCCACUACAGCCUGCUAAGUGCUUUACAGUACAGCAUGA